GAUGAAGAACGCAGCGAAAUGCGAUACGUAAUGUGAAUUGCAGAAUUCAGUGAAUCAUCGAGUCUUUGAACGCACAUUGCGCCCCCUGGUAUUCCGGGGGGCAUGCAUGUCCGAGCGUCAUUGCUGCCCUCAAGCACGGCUUGUGUGUUGGGCCUCCGUCCUCCUCCCGGGGGACGGGCCCGAAAGGCAGCGGCGGCACCGCGUCCGGUCCUCGAGCGUAUGGGGCUUCGUCACCCGCUCUUGUAGGCCCGGCCGGCGCUUGCCGACACAUCAAUCUUUUUUCCAGGUUGACCUCGGAUCAGGUAGGGAUACCCGCUGAACUUAAGCAUAUCAAUAAGCGGAGGA
This 345-nucleotide unclassified non-coding RNA is filed under the name soil metagenome. RNAcentral's name for it is "partial contains 5.8S ribosomal RNA, internal transcribed spacer 2, and large subunit ribosomal RNA". The stretch from base 1 to 120 matches the Rfam family "5.8S ribosomal RNA", at positions 35 to 154 of the family's 154-position model. The record is from RNAcentral.